UCAAACUCCACAUUUUCAUCAUCCCUCUCUUAUUUCUCAUCAUCAUUUUAAAUUUUGUUCUCAUUAAAAAAAUAAGUUUUUGAAAAAAUGGAUCGUUUCGUUUUGCGGCUCAAUGCCACUCCCACUCAGUCAACCUCCACCCCCGCUACUUCUUCCGGAAUGGACACACCUCCUCCAUCGCCUGCAGAACAACCCCUUAUAAAGAAGACAAAGACUGACGAGGGGAUAAUAGUGCCCCAACUAAAGAGAGCCACCGCAGUGGAUUGGGAGACAAGGUUGACCUUGAAUGAGGACCGUGAGCUCGGCUUCAUCAACUCUCAGGAAGAGUUUGAAAAUUUGUAUGCUCCUCCCACCCCCUCGUCGUCCAGUACUGUCCCCACGCCGAGCAGAAAGACAGAGUAACACUGUUUAAUCCCACAGAUCAUGAUGUCGCUCCUCACGACCCUCCACAACAAUACGACUUCCGAACCAGUCGAGCAGAUCCAUCUUAUCAACUGUGACAUCAAUACCAAUGCAGGGAACUUGGAGGAGGUGAAGAAAGCGCUCGAGUUGAACGACAUGGGGUUUGAAAUAGGGGAUGACAACAUUUCUCUCUCGUUCGCACUUUCUCCUCAUAUUCCCACCUCGUUCAACAACAAACUACCCUAUGUCUAUGUUGGAGAUAACAAGGAGGGAGGUUAUCGAUUCGGAGAAGACCAUUCAGAGAAACGUGAGUUUACUAUGAAAGGAUCUAAAACGCACUCUACGGCAAAAUUCACCACCAUGAAAGGGAUCGACUCCAAAAACAUCCACAACGUGUUCCAGGCUGACCCCACCACCUUCACAUCAAAACAAAGUUUGCAAAAGAUGAAGGAGGUGGAGACUUUAGGCCAUAAGGGGGUGCUAGUAGCUCAAAUGUUGGGAAUGAAGACUGUUGAUGGUCAUAAUGUUUAUAACUUGGCUGAAAAGUUUACUCAUUUCGACCAUGGCUGGGAAGAUGGUAUUUUUAGCGAUCUGAUUGCAAUGAUGACGGGGAAGGGGAUUGUUGUAAAGAAAGAAAAGCUCAAAGCUGUUCCUACUGAGGUUAAAUUUAUGGUUCCAAUUUAUAAGAAUAUGGGUGUUGGAGAGAAAGCGAGACAAGUAUUGGAUGUUGAUAAGAUGAAGAAGGUUAGUGUUCAGAAGAAAGUUUAUGAGAAAGUUGUUAUUUCUUGAAUUUAAAAGUUAUGUGUUAAACAAACUGUUCGAUGUUGAUUGUUACCGGUUUUUUUGUUAAUGAACUAUUUCUAUAAAAAUAAAAUUUGAAUUCAUAGAAAAUAAACGAGAAAACGAGAAAACAUACCACGGGGGCAGCGAAACAACAGGCAACUCCGACGGCACACGCAGCUGCCCACCUGCCAACAUUUCGUUACUUCGAGACUCGUUUUCAUAGAUCCCUUGGAAGGACUGAAGUUUACUGAGAAGGGUCGCCACCAUAGAGCCGAUAUGAACAAAUGGUCCCUGAGAGAAAUCAUAGCGUCAGUUGUAGACAACUUCCAAAUUAAACUCUACGUGCUACAAAACAACCUCUUUUCCUAGGGGCAUCCCUGAAAAAUUAAACAGUUUUUGAAAACAUUUUUAAAGGCAUGAAGGGAAUCCAGGUAAAAAUUUACAUACCACUCCCUAACGAUGCAGUUAAUCCCACAACUUUUGCAAAUAAAGUCCGAAACGUUAAAUACUGAGAACAAUCAAUUAGUUAAGUUUUGAUAUUAUAAAUAUUUUUCUACAAAUUCAUUAUUUAAAACGUUAAUGAACCUCUUUUAAUGUAACUCCGCGUAAAAUAGUCUUCAUUUCGGGAAUUCCACUCCCUGGUUAUUUGCAAUUAUAUUAUUAUUUGCAACAUUGAUUGAAAUAAUUAUUAAAUAUUUAUGUGUAAAUAAUCACCGAUAGCUUGGGGUGCUAUUAUAUGGACCUAUAACACAUUCACAACUUAUUACAUUUCGAUGUAAAUUGUUUAGCAUGAAACACAACAAACUUCAAAUCAUCAAGGCGUAACCCAAAACAUCAGACACGCCAGGAAAAGUGUUUCAAAGCCACGCUCAAGGGUGUUUGCAUCUGCAGAUGGAACCCUGGCGCUCUGCCGCUGGUCACUUGUGCGCAGAGACUUGCGGAAUAUUUACCAAACGUUGCCAUUUUAUAGAAAUUAGAAAAUCGAAAGUAGAUACUUUAAAAUGUCGACGUCUUCUACUUAGCUCUAAUUCUGACCUUGAUUUUAACCUGAUAUUAUAAUAUUUUUAGCAAAGUACAUAUUUUUCCGCUUUAUAUUAGUUAACUUGAUUUGCGAUUUGAAAUUUGAUUUGAGUACAUGAAUUAAUAAAUCAAUUAAUUACCAA
Folsomia candida is the source of this 2348-nucleotide RNA transcript. RefSeq lists it as uncharacterized. NCBI's taxonomy places the organism in Eukaryota, Metazoa, Arthropoda, Collembola, Entomobryomorpha, Isotomidae. The record is from RefSeq and is a predicted model, not a curated record. The transcript has 3 exons.